RNAcentral lists this ribosomal RNA (253 nucleotides) under uncultured bacterium. RNAcentral's name for it is "partial 16S ribosomal RNA". It matches the Rfam family "Bacterial small subunit ribosomal RNA", at positions 524 to 776 of the family's 1533-position model. The record is from RNAcentral.
UACGUAGGGGGCUAGCGUUGUCCGGAAUCAUUGGGCGUAAAGAGCGUGUAGGCGGUCCGGUAAGUCCGCUGUGAAAGUCGGGGGCUCAACCCUCGAAUGCCGGUGGAUACUGUCGGGCUAGAGUGCGGAAGAGGCGAGUGGAAUUCCUGGUGUAGCGGUGAAAUGCGCAGAUAUCAGGAGGAACACCAAUGGCGAAGGCAGCUCGCUGGGACGCGACUGACGCUGAGACGCGAAAGCGUGGGGAGCAAACAGG